UUGAAAAGAGGACUGACAAGCUACAAUGUCCCAUUCCUGGUUUUAUUCAUAGAUUUGUGAUGACUACAAGGAACAAUCAGCCAAAAGUCUGCGAGAAUCAAGCUUUACAGGCAAAAUGACCUUACGGAUACCAAUGACCCCAAAACGUUUUGGAGUGAGAGAUACACGUGAACCAGCAAACCAUCUCUCCAAGGAGGAUGAGGAAGAUGCUUCGGGUCGAUGAAGGGAAGGAGACAAAUGGAAAGCUAAUGAAACUGAGACUUGCAGGCGUCAUAUAACUCAGUCAAGGCCAAUACGUGGUGAAGCUGGGAUUCAAGCCCAGGCCUGUCUUACUCCAAAGCCAUCUCUUAAUCCCUUAAGCAAUCCUGCAUAGGGGAUACAUGUGCACUGUUCUAAAGACAUUCAGAUGAAUGUCUAAGAAGAUGACCACUCCAGAGCAUGGACAGAUUGAGGUGCAGAGCACACUAAAGCAUCUCGCAGCAGCACUACAUCUGGGACACGAGGUACAGGCUGGAUCUUCUCUAAAAUAAGCUAUCAGGUGCCACUUUACUCAAGCCUCUUCCUUAGCAAUAGCAAGUAUAUCGUACUUGGGAUUAACUCCGGCACAGAAGAGCCUAAAAAACUAAAUUGUGAUUUUGCUACUUGAGAAAUAUUUUAAAACGGAUGAUCUCAGGGUUUCACUAUUGCUUCUUGAAAUGUGAUACUGGAAGAAGACUUCUGAAAAGGGCCUAAACUCUGACAUAGACAUGAUGCACAUACACCAAGAAAAAGGUCAUACUUCUAAAACUGCUCGAAAAUUUCCAUGUGCCGCUCAGCAUUUCAUAGCAGAAGUACAUUCCCCCUCCCCCUCAAAUCCUCACACCCUUAUGGGAAUUUCCCCAAUAGCAGAAGUUUUAUAUAUUUUUCUUUAUUAUAUUUUCUAUGAUGACUAAUGGCCACAGGAUUUAAACUAUUAGCCAAAUAUGACGAGCUGAAUUAAAACAAGAGACUUGGGCUGUGAUGGCCAAAAGCUGCCCUAUACCUAUGCUCUUAUGAGGAUCCUCUGGUCUCUCCAAGUCCCAAAUCUGUGGCCUCUCUGAGAGCCGGCUUGUGUGAGUGUGCUUGGGUCUUAGGAGGGAACUUGCAUGUGCCUCGCCUUGUAUCCCUUCCAACAAUCCUCCCUUCAGAUAUCAGCACUUCCUUUCUAACCUGUAUGUGCUCAUCUUCUUAGACUUAUCAAUUUAACAGGUCCCUGGAAAUGCCACUUGAAACACUGCUGUACUGUCUUGGUUAACUGCUUUUUCUUGUGGUUGUAUGCUACUGAAUGCUAACUGGAUUAUUUAACCCUGAAAAAGAAUUCUGCUGUUCAUGGCUUUAUACCAAGAAGGUUGUACUGGUUCCUCUCAUACUGUAUAACAAGGCCAGUGGUUAUACCACAUCCUUGGUUACGUUGCAAGGAAUGAGAACAAAGGUGUCUCUGCUUGAAACCCUGAGGUUGUUACUUUCCUAAAGUGCUUGGUUUAAUUUUUAAACUGAAGUCUAAAACACAGCACUCAAGAGCUCUUCCACAGAAAAGGAUUUCUCUAUGUUGAUGCUAUUUUAGGAAGGUUUUAGAUAAGGCACUUGACUUGAAUGUGAAGGCUGCUGUCUCUUGUUAUUUUUAUAGGCUUUUGAGAUCAUUUUAGAAGUCUCAAUGAAAGGACUAAGAGAACUGUUUUAGAAAGAAGCCAGGUGGCUUUGCAAAUACAAUCUCAGUAAUAGCAAGAAUGGAAGGCAUGGUGUUUGGAAUGUUCCACUCCCACAUAUGGGCUGGAGCAGUCACAAAAGUCUGAAACAGUCAUAGACUGAUGACCAUCAGAAGAGGGAGCAGAGAAGAAACCAGUAACUGGGAAAUAAUGACCAGUCCCUCUUAAUCUUUCUGUUGUUGUUGCUGCCUUUAUUGGGCUUUUUCUUGAGUACACUGUCAUAAAUAUGCAGCUGGGAUAACAAUGCUUCAGGGAUUUGGUAGGACUCUUAACAAUUCUCCAAAUAUUACUUCAAUAAACAAAGCAAGGCUUUUCAAAAAGUACCAUUACCUACACACAUCUUAGUUUUCUUGCCCAGAGAGAUUCACUCUUAGAUGAGUCCUCCAGCUACUACAGAUUCCAACAGAUGACAGCAGCAGGAUGGAGCAGCAAAUUGUGCUACUUAACCUUAUUCACACAUUAUUUUUCUUCAUCAUUCCAGUUAGAGGACUCAAUAUAUUUGAACAAUUAUUUUUAUCUCUAGUCAGUAUGCAUUAUACGAUGCUCUUCUUCUUCCCCACCCAGGACAACCUAUCAUGCAAAAGUUCUGACUUACCUGUCCC
Long non-coding RNA from Homo sapiens (human), 2326 nucleotides. RefSeq annotates it as NFKB1 antisense RNA 2. Lineage: Eukaryota; Metazoa; Chordata; Mammalia; Primates; Hominidae. The transcript has 3 exons. The record is from RefSeq and is a predicted model, not a curated record.